UGCCACAGGAUGGAAAAUGUAGUUGGCCGACAGAUCGCGGUAUUUCAGGAUUUUGUUCCGCUCGGCCACAGAAGCUUUGGAUUUCACUCUGACCACAGCAUCCAGGAUGUGGGAAGAAACAAAGGAGUCGCUAACUGUGACAUCCCAGACAAGGCAUCUGCCUUGCGACCAGGGGCACAGAGUAAGGCCGUCAGAUCUCUUCCCAUCACAUCUAGACAAUUCAGAUGGUUCCAAGAUGGAGGGGAUGUUUGCCCAGGCCAAGCUCCUCUUGAGUAUCAGGUUCAACUCCGUAUGAUGCGCGAAGCGACCAGCAUUCAGGCGGCAAGAAAGGUCAUGGAGGCCUGUGGAGUCGAGGAGCCUGCUACAACGACAGAGAAGGUCCCACAACAUUAUCAUACAUGUUCGCCUUUUCAAAAUAUAACGUUUUGAGUUGUUAUUGUUAGCAGGCUGAGCAAUUAAGAUUCUGCGUUGGCUCGACUGGAAUAAAUUUUCAGAGGGAACAACACUGUCGGGCAGUUCCGAAAUCAUUGUAAUGUUCAAACGACAGUCGACGAAGGGAGUGUCACCGCAAUGCAACCUGCAUGUAAAUAAUCAUAAAUAUAUAUAUAUAUAUAAAUCAUUUCUAAGUAAGAGACAGGUAACAGGUAUUCUAGGUGAAUACAACAAUUAAUCAUUAAAUUCAAUAACGUAUUUUUCCUAGCUAUUUGUACCAUGAUGCUUUGGAAUAGCUACUUCCGCUUAUAAUUUUUUUUUCGCCUGCUGAAAAUAAUUAUCUCCCUUUACGAAACACGCCAAGGCAACCAUUAGGUUGUUCACUCUAAACAUUCAAAAUGCCACGACAAAUAUCAGAAAUAAAGGAAUUUUUGUUGACUGCGAGAAGGAAAGAUGCAAAAUGUG
Octopus sinensis (East Asian common octopus) is the source of this 897-nucleotide long non-coding RNA. RefSeq lists it as uncharacterized. The transcript is spliced from 3 exons. The record is from RefSeq and is a predicted model, not a curated record. NCBI's taxonomy places the organism in Eukaryota, Metazoa, Mollusca, Cephalopoda, Octopoda, Octopodidae.